GGGUGACGCCGACGGCAUCGGCGAUCUUCUCGACGCCGGCCUGAAGGGCGGACCUGGAGCUCUGGUCAAAGGCGAUGUCCUUGGCUCGGGCGCGCACCACGAACCGUCUCGGCUCCGGCGCCGCUCUCGGUCUCCUCAGAUCCUGCUGAAUCAGCUGUGGAGGGGAGGGGCGGAGGGUGAAGGCGGUGGAGACGGCGUUGGUUGCUGCCAUGGGAGAGGAGGUGGG
Molecule: unclassified non-coding RNA, 226 nt
Filed under: Hevea brasiliensis (rubber tree)
Lineage: Eukaryota; Viridiplantae; Streptophyta; Magnoliopsida; Malpighiales; Euphorbiaceae
Source: RNAcentral